RNAcentral lists this transfer RNA (28 nucleotides) under Placobdella picta. RNAcentral describes it as "partial tRNA-Leu". The record is from RNAcentral. Lineage: Eukaryota; Metazoa; Annelida; Clitellata; Rhynchobdellida; Glossiphoniidae.
UAAAUAUGAUUUAUUAAUUCUCAUAUUA